This 704-nucleotide ribosomal RNA is filed under the name Aeromicrobium sp. RNAcentral describes it as "bacterial SSU rRNA". It matches the Rfam family "Bacterial small subunit ribosomal RNA", at positions 59 to 778 of the family's 1533-position model. The record is from RNAcentral. Lineage: Bacteria; Bacillati; Actinomycetota; Actinomycetes; Propionibacteriales; Nocardioidaceae.
CAGUCGAGCGGUAAGGCUCCUUCGGGAGUACACGAGCGGCGAACGGGUGAGUAACACGUGAGCAAUCUGCCCUUCUCAUCGGAAUAACCAUUGGAAACGAUGGCUAAUGCCGAAUAUGACCUCGGAUCACAUGUUCUGAGGUGGAAAGCUCCGGCGGAGAAGGAUGAGCUCGCGGCCUAUCAGCUUGUUGGUGAGGUAAUGGCUCACCAAGGCAUUGACGGGUAGCCGGCCUGAGAGGGUGACCGGCCACACUGGGACUGAGACACGGCCCAGACUCCUACGGGAGGCAGCAGUGGGGAAUAUUGGACAAUGGGCGAAAGCCUGAUCCAGCAACGCCGCGUGAGGGAUGACGGCCUUCGGGUUGUAAACCUCUUUCAGCAGGGACGAAGCGAAAGUGACGGUACCUGCAGAAGAAGGACCGGCCAACUACGUGCCAGCAGCCGCGGUAAUACGUAGGGUCCGAGCGUUGUCCGGAAUUAUUGGGCGUAAAGGGCUCGUAGGCGGUUUGUCGCGUCGGGAGUGAAAACUCAGGGCUCAACCCUGAGCGUGCUUCCGAUACGGGCAGACUAGAGGUAUGCAGGGGAGAACGGAAUUCCUGGUGUAGCGGUGGAAUGCGCAGAUAUCAGGAGGAACACCGGUGGCGAAGGCGGUUCUCUGGGCAUUACCUGACGCUGAGGAGCGAAAGCAUGGGGAGCGAACAGGAU